AGAGGGAAGUUUAACCGGGAAGCUUACAUCUUUCAUAG
Molecule: ribosomal RNA, 38 nt
Filed under: Theileria equi
Lineage: Eukaryota; Apicomplexa; Aconoidasida; Piroplasmida; Theileriidae
Description: large subunit ribosomal RNA LSU2
Source: RNAcentral